RNAcentral lists this ribosomal RNA (328 nucleotides) under uncultured eukaryote. RNAcentral describes it as "partial 18S ribosomal RNA". It matches the Rfam family "Eukaryotic small subunit ribosomal RNA", at positions 1470 to 1796 of the family's 1831-position model. The record is from RNAcentral.
CCCUUAGAUGUUCUGGGCUGCACGCGCGCUACACUGAUGCAUCCAGCGAGUUGUAACCUUGCUUGGUAAAGUUUGGUAAUCUGAGCCUAAUGUGCAUCGUGAUGGGAAUAGAGUUUUGCAACUAUUAGUCUUGAACGAGGAAUUCCUCGUAAGCACGAGUCAUCAGCUUGUGCUGAUUACGUCCCUGCCCUUUGUACACACCGCCCGUCGCUCCUACCGAUUGAAUGGUUUAGUGAGGCCUCGGGACUGGCGCGCUCGAGUAGCAAUACACCUGCGCGCCGGGAACUUGGUCAAACUUGAUCAUUUAGAGGAAGUAAAANUCGUANCA